UGAAUCCGAACGGGAUGGAUUUAACUGAUACUGCAAUGUAUGGUUUCGAUUACGGGUAUAAAAAAUAAAAAAUUGAUGAAUUCAAGUUCAAAUAAGAAUUUAUCUAUAUCCGAACUAGAACCAGAACCGAACUCAUUUUAUAUUUAUACAAUAUAUCAAAUAAAGAUUGUCUCAAUCCUUGGAUGGGAGGGAUAUACAAUUUAUACCAUUUUUUUGAAUGUAUACUUAGUAUUUCUCUUUUAAUAUUUUUUUUAAAAAAAUAAUAAAUAUUAGCCCCAGAAUAAAUAGGGUGUGAAAUGUUUUUUUUGAGAAAAAGGUAGCGUGCUAUCCGCUUCAUUUAUUGAAAAGAUGAAUUAGACUACAGGAAUGAGGCAACCAGGGCCUGUAAGAAGGUGGGAAAAAAUAAAAAAAUAAAAAUUUAAAAAAGAAAGAAAGAAAGAAAGAAAGAAAACUACAUCUCAUAAAAGUGUCGAUUAGCCGAAAGUAAAUGUUUCCAAAAAUUCGAUGACUGUUUAACCUUACGAACUGCUAUCAGGGAGUCCAGCUGGAUUAUUCUAAAGAUCGUAUCAUU
RNAcentral lists this long non-coding RNA (571 nucleotides) under Ananas comosus (pineapple). Its description in RNAcentral is "long non-coding RNA (ACOM_LNC002870)". Lineage: Eukaryota; Viridiplantae; Streptophyta; Magnoliopsida; Poales; Bromeliaceae. The record is from RNAcentral.